GACGAACGCUGGCGGCGUGCUUAACACAUGCAAGUCGAACGGUAAGGCCCUUCGGGGUACACGAGUGGCGAACGGGUGAGUAACACGUGGGUAAUCUGCCCUGCACUUCGGGAUAAGCCUGGGAAACUGGGUCUAAUACCGGAUAGGACCCUGGGAUGCAUGUCCUGGGGUGGAAAGCUUUUGCGGUGUGGGAUGGGCCCGCGGCCUAUCAGCUUGUUGGUGGGGUGAUGGCCUACCAAGGCGACGACGGGUAGCCGGCCUGGGAGGGUGACCGGCCACACUGGGACUGAGAUACGGCGCAGACUCCUACGGGAGGCAGCAGUGGGGAAUAUUGCACAAUGGCGCAAGCCUGAUGCAGCGACGCCGCGUGAGGGAUGACGGCCUUCGGGUUGUAAACCUCUUUCAGUAGGGACGAAGCGCAAGUGACGGUACCUACAGAAGAAGGACCGGCCAACUACGUGCCAGCCGCCGCGGUAA
Molecule: ribosomal RNA, 477 nt
Filed under: uncultured bacterium
Lineage: Bacteria
Description: partial 16S ribosomal RNA
Rfam family: Bacterial small subunit ribosomal RNA
Source: RNAcentral